Molecule: transfer RNA, 73 nt
Filed under: bacterium
Lineage: Bacteria
Also listed under: 1 other name
Description: tRNA-Arg
Rfam family: tRNA
About the family: Transfer RNA (tRNA) molecules are approximately 80 nucleotides in length. Their secondary structure includes four short double-helical elements and three loops (D, anti-codon, and T loops).
Source: RNAcentral
GUCCCCGUGGUGUAACGGAUAACAUACCUGCCUUCGAAGCAGUUGACUGGAGGUUCGAUUCCUCCCGGGGACA